CCUACGGGUGGCAGCAGUGGGGAAUUUUGGACAAUGGGCGAAAGCCUGAUCCAGCCAUGCCGCGUGCAGGAUGAAGGCCUUCGGGUUGUAAACUGCUUUUGUACGGAACGAAACGGCCUUUUCUAAUAAAGAGGGCUAAUGACGGUACCGUAAGAAUAAGCACCGGCUAACUACGUGCCAGCAGCCGCGGUAAUACGUAGGGUGCAAGCGUUAAUCGGAAUUACUGGGCGUAAAGCGAGCGCAGGCGGUUAUGUAAGACAGUUGUGAAAUCCUCGGGCUUAACCUGGGAACUGCAUCCGUGACUUCAUAGCUAGAGUACGGUAGAGGGGGAUGGAAAUGCGCGUGUAGCAGUGAAAUGCGUAGGGAUGCGGAGGAAAACCGAUGGCGAAGGCAAUCCCCUGGACCUGUACGGACGCGCAUGCACGAAAGCGUGGGGAGCCAACGGGAUUAGAUACCCUUGUAGUC
Molecule: ribosomal RNA, 465 nt
Filed under: uncultured bacterium
Lineage: Bacteria
Description: bacterial SSU rRNA
Rfam family: Bacterial small subunit ribosomal RNA
Source: RNAcentral